CUACAAUUCCCAGCUCGAGCGUGAGCUCGCGGCGGAAGCAGCUUCGGCACGCUCAAGACUUUGCACUACGCAGGUGUGGCGCAGUGGAGGCAGCAAUCCAAGGAGAGAUGCCCAGACCUCCCUCUUCCUAGCCACUGCAUUCAGCUCUUCCAGGGGGCUACUGAGGCAUUUCCAAGCCAGCCAAGUUACAUAAUCUCUCCAGCGUGUUCUACGUUUGCCCUACAUUGAACAUGCACAAAACAACUCACAUAGGAGACGUCCAAGAGGCUUUCUUGUCAGAUGCCCAAACAACCUCAACUGGCUCCUUUCCAUGUGGAAGAGUGACUAAACUUAUCACCCAGACAUUAUUCACAGGAAGCUGCUUGACUAUGUGAUCUUAUUCUUUUGUCAUUACCCACAGUUUAUGGCUAUAGAUGAGGGUAAAAAUGUAGAUUGAUCAUCACUCUCCUGACGAUGACAGAGUGGAAUAGCAUCUGCAAAUUCAGCAUCGAUCCAGCUGCCAAUCUCUCAUUAAACUUCCCAUUAAACUCAUCAACAGUUUUCUGACAUAUCUGAAAGCCUCCACUUGGGGCAGUAACCUCUCCCCAGCAUGGAGUUGGCAAUCCAAACCUUUCCAGCCAAGAACCAGGCUUCAGACUCAUAGGUGCUUAUUGUCACCUCAACACAAAUAAUAAUGUAAUUCUUUGAUUACUGACUGUUAGAUGGCUCAAACAGUGACUAUACUAUACCAAUGACCAAUUAUCACUGCAAGAAUAUUUGAAAAUGGCUGGAGAGGUUAAAGUCAAAUACUGGCUGCACAAUAACCUGUAUAGCUACAGAGGCCAAGGCAGAACAUGGAAACAACAGUAACCUUAUCAGCAGAAAAUCUGUUUAUAAGGAUUCUGCCCAAAGUUAGCCUUACUGUUUCAAUUUUAG
Oreochromis niloticus (Nile tilapia) is the source of this 915-nucleotide long non-coding RNA. RefSeq lists it as uncharacterized. The transcript has 2 exons. The record is from RefSeq and is a predicted model, not a curated record. Lineage: Eukaryota; Metazoa; Chordata; Actinopteri; Cichliformes; Cichlidae.